This 72-nucleotide transfer RNA is filed under the name Planctomycetota bacterium. RNAcentral describes it as "tRNA-Val". It matches the Rfam family "tRNA". Rfam says of the family: Transfer RNA (tRNA) molecules are approximately 80 nucleotides in length. Their secondary structure includes four short double-helical elements and three loops (D, anti-codon, and T loops). Lineage: Bacteria; Pseudomonadati; Planctomycetota. The record is from RNAcentral.
GGUCCCGUGGUCCAACGGCAAAGAUGCUUGGCCUACACCCAAGAGACGGUGGUUCAACUCCAUCCGGGACUA